AGUCGGUGGAGUGAUUUGUCUGGUUAAUUCCGAUAACGGACGAGACUCUGACAUGCUAACUAGUUUCGCUUGCUACCUUUUAGGUCAGGUGGGAACUUCUUAGAUGGAUUGGCGCCUUUUUGAAUGCGCAUGAAAUAGAGCUAUAACAGGU
RNAcentral lists this ribosomal RNA (151 nucleotides) under Opisthokonta sp. Its description in RNAcentral is "partial small subunit ribosomal RNA". It matches the Rfam family "Eukaryotic small subunit ribosomal RNA", at positions 1296 to 1461 of the family's 1831-position model. The record is from RNAcentral.